Pteropus alecto (black flying fox) is the source of this 203-nucleotide non-coding RNA. The record is from Rfam. Lineage: Eukaryota; Metazoa; Chordata; Mammalia; Chiroptera; Pteropodidae.
GGCAGCCAGACAGUUUUGCUUGGAUCUGUGGGGCUGCCACGUGGCCAUACAUUCAAACGCUCUGAGAGUUCUGUGUCCUGAGCCAGCCAGAAAGUGACUUACAGCCCAAAGCAGGAUCCGCAGGACGUCUGCUGUGGGAGGCCCCCCAGAGUAAACACUGAGAUUUCUGGGAAAUGUACCUGAGGCCAGACUGCCGGGAAAAG